Molecule: long non-coding RNA, 1902 nt
Organism: Cynoglossus semilaevis (tongue sole)
Lineage: Eukaryota; Metazoa; Chordata; Actinopteri; Pleuronectiformes; Cynoglossidae
Exons: 8
Source: RefSeq, a predicted model, not a curated record
AAUGCCUCCUUUAAGGACGCAGGGCCAAACGGUGGUAGAGAGGGUUGUACUCUUGCCUUACAGGCAGGAGAACACCACUUCAUGGUUUGAUUCCCAGUCUUUUUGUAUGUAGUUCUAUGUAUUUUCUCCCUAUUUGUUCAGGUUCUUCUUCCUGAAGUUAUUUUUUUACUUUUUUUUUCAUUCCACAUUACUUUUAUUGAAAAUAAACUAGUUUCUGUGCCUGGCUGUCGAUUGGCGCUGCCUGGACAAGGCGGUAGCUGAUAGGCUUAGCGACCUGUCAAUCAAACUGCUGACUCGAAGCUACCAAACACAGUUUAGCUUUUGAAAUCGUAGAGCGCGGAGUUGUUUUUUGAUACUGUGUAGUGUGUAGUGUGUCGAAAAAAACCGAAAAAGAAGACGCCACGUUUUGGCUUUGACCGGUGGUUGAAGAUUGUAAACCGGCAUUCUGUGUUAAAACCGCUUUUCUGUCGGACAUGGCCGUGAAUCGGAUGGGAAACGACAGGAAGUACGUGAGUCUCACACAGGAAGUACACAACAACAACAACAAAAAACAUCCAAAAGUGUGCAGCGAGUUUUUCCUGCAAAUCAAAUGAAAAUGAGUUGGAUAGAAUUACAGUAGUAGAAGUUACCAGUGUGCAGUACAGUAUGAACAUUCAUAUCGGUUAACUGACUACAGGAAAUCUUAAAUCUCAAGAAAGAUUCGGGCCAGGGCCUACUCUGAACCUACUGUAGCUGUACGAAGUUCUACAACGAUGUGGAAUAUAUAUGUUUAGGUCUUGGGUUCUGUAGAGUUAUUGUUUUUUUGUGGGGGUUAAAGGAGAGAUACGUGCAUCCCUCAUUGUCCCAGACCAACCUCCUACCUGUCCAGACAUUUUGUCGGUUUUGGAGGUGGUCACCUCUACAUACGACCGAUGAAGUCGAUUGACUCCGGCCUCCGCCCCCACGACCCUGAGAAUUACAGAACCCACAUGUGGUACAAACACAUAAACAGAAGACGCCUCAACAUGUGGUUAGCAGUGAUACUGGGACACGGCGGUUGUGGAGAAUCCCACCACAACAGGAUCACAGGGGUGCCAGGAGUCAAUCCCAGAAGUUACAGUUGAGGCCAGGUUACAGUCUGGACUGUCACAGACCAUAGACUACCACCGACCGUUAUAGACCAUCACAGACCAUCAAAGACCAUCACAGACCACCACAGACCAUCACAGGUUCAAGUCGAAUAAAACCAGCAGCACAGCAGAGCGGGGUUCUCCGUCUCUCCCUCUCCAUUUCCUCGUGGCUGUGAAUGAGUUGCAGGUGUUGCCUGAGUGUAAAUGCAUCACUCUACAGCUGCUGCAGAGUUCUCUGGCUCUCCUCGGCCCCAUCAUCCCUCUCCAUAUCUCCCUCUCCGUCUCCGUCACUGUCUGCCUGGAUGCAUGUGUCAGACAACCGAUUAAUUCUCCGGAGGUGGAAAGGUGGAGUGACGGGGGAUCACAAGAGGCAAAUCAUCCCUAUAUUCAUCCACAGGGGGAGAUGGUGAGAACAGCGGACCCUAGCCUUUCCCAGCCACAGCCCAGACGAUUGCUGUGGAGCGAGAAGCCCACCGCUCGCCUCAACCCCCAGCUCUCUGGCCACCACUAAUGUGGGAAAAGCCUGGGAGGGUGUCCCCGCGAGCACACUCUCUGCUCAAACAGCGGUUUCGGGAUCCAAACCUACCACUAUGGCCCUCUGCACACAGCUCCAGCAUGACCAGUCAUCCUGGCCCCGGGGCUGGUUAAUGACAGCCUGCUUCGUCCCGUGCCAGUCCUGGGCCAUGGGAAUUGGCGUACGUAUCAUUCCAGCUUUGAAUCCAAUCCUCUAUCAGUUCAAUGGAAAAUUACGCAAAUCAUAAUUCCUCUAAAACUCAAUUAUUUUUAUUUUCUC